RNAcentral lists this ribosomal RNA (462 nucleotides) under uncultured bacterium. Its description in RNAcentral is "bacterial SSU rRNA". It matches the Rfam family "Bacterial small subunit ribosomal RNA", at positions 29 to 506 of the family's 1533-position model. The record is from RNAcentral.
AUGAACGCUAGUAAUAUGCUUUACACAUGCAAGUCGAGUACUUUCUUUUUUUAGUUAGUGCGGCGUACGGGUGAGUAAUAGAUAGGAAUAUGCUUAGUAGACGGUUAAAAAUAACCGAUAACCAGUUACAGGUCGCGCGGCUUAUUGCCGCGCGUCCGUCAUAACGUAAAGAUUUAUUAAAUCGCUACUAAAUUGGCCUGUUGAGGAUUAGAUAGUUGGUAAGGUCAAAGCUUACCAAGUCGAUGAUCUUUAGUCGGUUUGAGAGAAUGAACGGCCACACCGGAACUGAGACAAGGACCGGCGUCCCUUAGGGCGCAGCAGUGGGGAAUAUUGGACAAUGGAGGAAACUCUGAUCCAGCAAUAUUACGUGAGUGAUUAAGACUUUAGUAACCAUGUUGUAAAACUCUUUCGUCGAGGUAGAUUAUGACUUGACUCGAAAAAGAAGCCCCGGCUUAUUCCCGU